CUGCAACCAAUUAAGCCGACCGGCCCCCUCUCCCCAUGGGGGUCCGGUGUGCAAUGGCUGCAGACAGCAGCUUCCUUAGUAGUGCAUGUGGCCUGUUGCCCGUACAGGUUGCCCUAAGGGACCUUGGAGACAGCC
RNAcentral lists this small nucleolar RNA (135 nucleotides) under Dasypus novemcinctus (nine-banded armadillo). RNAcentral describes it as "Small nucleolar RNA SNORA70 (ENSDNOG00000033390.1)". It matches the Rfam family "Small nucleolar RNA SNORA70". From Rfam's summary of the family: snoRNA U70 seems to be exclusive to mammals and is a member of the H/ACA class of snoRNA which contain H (ANANNA) and ACA box motifs. H/ACA box snoRNAs are involved in the conversion of uridines to pseudouridines (5-ribosyluracil) a constituent of structural RNAs (transfer, ribosomal, small nuclear, and small nucleolar). Lineage: Eukaryota; Metazoa; Chordata; Mammalia; Cingulata; Dasypodidae. The record is from RNAcentral.